RNAcentral lists this ribosomal RNA (637 nucleotides) under uncultured bacterium. Its description in RNAcentral is "bacterial SSU rRNA". It matches the Rfam family "Bacterial small subunit ribosomal RNA", at positions 607 to 1244 of the family's 1533-position model. The record is from RNAcentral.
GCUUAACCGGAGAAGUGCAUCGGAAACUGGAUAACUUGAGUGCAGAAGAGGGUAGUGGAACUCCAUGUGUAGCGGUGGAAUGCGUAGAUAUAUGGAAGAACACCAGUGGCGAAGGCGGCUACCUGGUCUGCAACUGACGCUGAGACUCGAAAGCAUGGGUAGCGAACAGGAUUAGAUACCCUGGUAGUCCAUGCCGUAAACGAUGAGUGCUAGGUGUUGGAGGGUUUCCGCCCUUCAGUGCCGGAGCUAACGCAUUAAGCACUCCGCCUGGGGAGUACGACCGCAAGGUUGAAACUCAAAGGAAUUGACGGGGGCCCGCACAAGCGGUGGAGCAUGUGGUUUAAUUCGAAGCUACGCGAAGAACCUUACCAGGUCUUGACAUCUUGCGCCAACCCUAGAGAUAGGGCGUUUCCUUCGGGAACGCAAUGACAGGUGGUGCAUGGUCGUCGUCAGCUCGUGUCGUGAGAUGUUGGGUUAAGUCCCGCAACGAGCGCAACCCUUGUUACUAGUUGCCAGCAUUAAGUUGGGCGCUCUAGUGAGACUGCCGGUGACAAACCGGAGGAAGGUGGGGACGACGUCAGAUCAUCAUGCCCCUUAUGACCUGCGCUACACACGUGCUACAAUGGACGGUACAACG